This 497-nucleotide ribosomal RNA is filed under the name uncultured bacterium. Its description in RNAcentral is "partial 16S ribosomal RNA". It matches the Rfam family "Bacterial small subunit ribosomal RNA", at positions 28 to 507 of the family's 1533-position model. The record is from RNAcentral.
GAUGAACGCUGGCGGCGUGCCUAAUACAUGCAAGUCGAGCGAACAGACGAGGAGCUUGCUCCUCUGAUGUUAGCGGCGGACGGGUGAGUAACACGUGGAUAACCUACCUAUAAGACUGGGAUAACUUCGGGAAACCGGAGCUAAUACCGGAUAACAUGUUGAACCGCAUGGUUCAACAGUGAAAGACGGUUUUGCUGUCACUUAUAGAUGGAUCCGCGCCGCAUUAGCUAGUUGGUAAGGUAACGGCUUACCAAGGCAACGAUGCGUAGCCGACCUGAGAGGGUGAUCGGCCACACUGGAACUGAGACACGGUCCAGACUCCUACGGGAGGCAGCAGUAGGGAAUCUUCCGCAAUGGGCGAAAGCCUGACGGAGCAACGCCGCGUGAGUGAAGAAGGUCUUCGGAUCGUAAAACUCUGUUAUUAGGGAAGAACAAAUGUGUAAGUAACUAAGCACGUCUUGACGGUACCUAAUCAGAAAGCCACGGCUAACUACGUG